This is a non-coding RNA of Schizosaccharomyces pombe (fission yeast), 301 nucleotides long. NCBI's taxonomy places the organism in Eukaryota, Fungi, Ascomycota, Schizosaccharomycetes, Schizosaccharomycetales, Schizosaccharomycetaceae. The record is from the annotation of a GenBank genome assembly.
UAAAUGGAAUAAGACUGCUGACGAAAAAACGAGCCAAACGGGUAUCUUUGGAAUUGGUUGUUAUAUUUACGUUAAAUCCAGGUAAAGAGUGCGGAUACAUCUCAUAAACAGCUUCAAUUUGGGGAAAUAAAGGCAUGACUUCACUUGGUAAACCAAAAGAUAUGUUUCCUGUUUGAUCUCCGCUUGUAGGACUCAGGCCCUUGAAAUCAUGAAGCUGAGGAAGAACCAACUCAGAUAAGAUUGAAAGAAAUGUAUACAUAGAUUCUCCAGUUAGAGUAACCUUUACACCUACUGGCACACC